UACGUAGACCUCAAGCGUUAUCCGGAUUUAUUGGGCGUAAAGCGCGUGUAGGGGGUCUGGUGCGUCUUUGGUUAAAGCUCACUGCUCAACGGUGAAAAUGCCCGAGAUACGGCCAGACUAGAGGGGGUUAGAGGUGAGCGGAACGCACGGUGUAGGGGUGAAAGCCGUUGAUAUCGUGCGGAACACCAAAGGCGAAGGCAGCUCACUGGGACCUUCCUGACCCUGAGACGCGAAAGCGUGGGGAGCAAAAAGG
Molecule: ribosomal RNA, 253 nt
Filed under: uncultured bacterium
Lineage: Bacteria
Description: partial 16S ribosomal RNA
Rfam family: Bacterial small subunit ribosomal RNA
Source: RNAcentral